RNAcentral lists this long non-coding RNA (383 nucleotides) under Bos taurus (domestic cattle). RNAcentral's name for it is "long non-coding RNA NONBTAT024197". The record is from RNAcentral. Lineage: Eukaryota; Metazoa; Chordata; Mammalia; Artiodactyla; Bovidae.
CCCUAGAACACUUUUUAUAAAAUCUUAGUAAAUAUAUUUAAUGAUUCCCACAUUAUCCUCCAAUUUAUUUCUAAUUUUCCCAAAUGGAAAAGAAACCACUUAAAGACUACUCCUGCAGUCUGAGUUCUGGCUAGAGUCGACUCCAGAUAGUCAAAGAGAAUAAGAUUCUCUUCAAAAGGUUUGUCUCAUCUCCCAUGAAUUCUAUUAGUUUUUCUGGUUUUGAGGCAAGACUCAGUGACUUCUAACUUAGGAGAUCAAUCUUUCUCUUUCUUUCUGCCCAUAAAAGAUGGUACAAUAUGGGCUACUUUCCAGGCAUGGAGUAUGAUAGCUACAUUAAAAAAAAAAAGAAAGAUAAAUUACACGAUUUUGGUAUAGCCUCAGCU